This 253-nucleotide ribosomal RNA is filed under the name uncultured bacterium. Its description in RNAcentral is "partial 16S ribosomal RNA". It matches the Rfam family "Bacterial small subunit ribosomal RNA", at positions 524 to 776 of the family's 1533-position model. The record is from RNAcentral.
UACAGAGGUCUCAAGCGUUGUUCGGAUUCAUUGGGCGUAAAGGGUGCGUAGGCGGCGCGGUAAGUCGGAUGUGAAAUCUUGGAGCUUAACUCCGAAACUGCAUUCGAUACUGCCGUGCUUGAGGACUGGAGAGGAGACUGGAAUUUACGGUGUAGCGGUGAAAUGCGUAGAUAUCGUAAGGAAGACCAGUGGCGAAGGCGGGUCUCUGGGCCUGACCUGACGCUGAGGAGCGAAAGCGUGGGGAGCGAACAGG